This 134-nucleotide small nucleolar RNA is filed under the name Haliotis rufescens (red abalone). Its description in RNAcentral is "U8 small nucleolar RNA". It matches the Rfam family "U8 small nucleolar RNA". From Rfam's summary of the family: U8 is a member of the C/D class of snoRNA which contain the C (UGAUGA) and D (CUGA) box motifs. U8 is the RNA component of a small complex (the U8 snoRNP) which is required for accumulation of mature large subunit ribosomal RNAs, 5.8S and 28S rRNAs. U8 RNA has been identified in human, mouse, rat and Xenopus. Lineage: Eukaryota; Metazoa; Mollusca; Gastropoda; Lepetellida; Haliotidae. The record is from RNAcentral.
UCAUCAGGUAUUGUAACAUCUUACCUGUGGGCCUUCGGGCCCCCAGAACAUGAUGACAUCCGGAGAAUGAUGGUGGUGAGUUAAACUCCGGGGGUGCGGAGGGAGUGCAACACCCUCUGACACUCGUGUCUGAU